Molecule: long non-coding RNA, 11080 nt
Organism: Mirounga angustirostris (Northern elephant seal)
Lineage: Eukaryota; Metazoa; Chordata; Mammalia; Carnivora; Phocidae
Exons: 4
Source: RefSeq, a predicted model, not a curated record
AGGUAUUUUCAAUUCAUCUGCAUGACUUGGUAUUUGGCAAGAUGAUUCUCGGUGAAUGGGCUGCUUAUGGUGUCCACAAAGAAGUCUUUUGGCCAGCUCUGGGCAGAGAAACCACACAGUUACCGUCUCCACCAUGUGCAGUAUCAGAGGGACAUAGAUCCAGGUGUCCUGCCCUCCCCUGGCCGGAGUGAUUGUGUGACCAAGCUAGGGACACCCUCAGAAUGACCUCUGGCAGCUGAGCCCUGACAAGACUCCAGAAUGAGUCCUGCUUCUCCUAAGACCCCUGGAUGUGCCCAGGUUCCAGAAUUGGCUGAUCCCCAUGGCUCAGAUGCUCCAGUUCCUCGCAGGCAUCAGAAGCCCCCGUGAUAGCAUGCUUGGCAGAUGGUCCGUGCCCAUGGCUUUACCUCCCAUCUGCACAGGAAAGCACCCAUCAAAGCUACUCAUACGUCCACAUGGCAUCUCCACCUGGUUGGUUGGACAACAACAUCUCAAACACAGCAUGCCCCAAAGUGAAACAAUCAUCUUCCCCCAAGCAUGCUUCUCUUCCCAGCCCACAAGCCAGAGCCCCUGGAAUCUGCCACCCAUCCUUCCCUCCCCUCAGCCAGAAUCUAUUUUCUCAACAUGAUCGAUAUGACUAUUGAUCAGACUUGCAGAAUUGCUUGGAAGGGGAAAAAAAGCCUGCACAUCUGGUCACAGGAAUGUGAACAUGAUAGAAGCCCAGUAUGAGAGUAACGGAGAAAGAGACUAUUUUUUGUUUGUUUGUUUGUUCAAAAACAUUCAAAUAUGGAGCUUCAGUGGAGAAAAUUAGAGGAGGAUUUUGAACAAAACUGUAGGAGCUGAUAUUUUGUUAUUCUUUCUUUCAGUUGUAUCUUUUAAGUGCAUGAAAAUGUUUUUUUUUUAAUUACAUUGGACGCUCUGUACCUUAGGGCUCCUGGGUGGUUCUCUGGGGAGAGGUUUGGGUUUCUCUUUUCAGAUGGUUGGUCUGCAAGGGAUGAUGCUCUAGGACAGGCGAUGCCUACACCUACCCACCUUGAAGUCAGUUCCAGAAAGCCAAGAGUCAAAACGAGCCAAGGAAAUGGAAAUUUGUAGACCUCGAGGGAAAGAGUUAUUUAAACACAAGUUCUGUUGACCUAGGAGAUUCGUGGGCGGUACUUAUGGGAAAGGUGGAAAGACAUGCGUAAAAGGAGAAGUGUUUUAAAGAAGUUCAGUUUGUCUUUGCCCUCACUCCCUGUUGCUGACGUCAGGCUGGAGAACAGAGACUAAUGAUGAGGACCACAGAGGUGGGAGUCCCAGAGGAAACGACGGGAAGCGGAGGCGACAUGAAUAUAUUUAUAAGAACAUGUUCAUAAGACUAUAGCCUUAAGAUGAUAUAGUCAUUGAAUAUAGUUAACUCAUUUAAAAAUAUAUUCAAGAAAAAUAUGUGCACAAAUAAUAUUUUUGCAUUUAAACGAGUCUGCUUGCUAUAUUCUUAUGAGUAAAAAUCCAUUAAUGAAGAAUAUAUUUGUAGGACACUUCCUAUUGAAGACAAUCUCACAUAUAAAUUUUCUGGAGCCCUCAGUGUCUCCUGCUGUACACCUAGGUCUUGUUAACUGCUCUUCUUUUGUUUCUUUAACCUAAACAGUUCCAGAGCCUUCCUCUUUCCUCCUGGAUGUGGCUUGUAGGUUUCUUAUCAGUUUGCACUUCUUCUUGUCAUAUACACACCAGUUUGCCCACGUCUUUCUUCCAGACUGGCUUCAGGGCAGGCUGAGCCUUAAGUAAAUAAGUGAAAUAUGGGGACAGGCAUUUCCUUAUACUCAGACCCUAUGCUCCUAUUAAUCAUCAUUGUAAUUAUUAUUAUUAAUGCUAUCUAAAUAUGUGUUCAUUUUCUUAAUGACUGCCCAUCAUAGUGAGCUCGGGCUAGGCGUAUAGCCUGGUAACCCCCUCACACCUUGUCCACAUGACUUGCCUCUGUCCUGGGGAAGAGAUUCUUUACUCUAGCCCUGUGACCCUUGAAAAAUAACAGGUACUCCAUCUUUGUUUUCCAAGCCCUUAUCUUUGAGUGGGAAGAAAAGAUUUGAGAUCAGACAUCAUUUGUAAAUGAGAGUUUAUACUACUGAUGUUUUAAAAUUGUUUUGGAAGCAUCGGGUACUCAUACACAGUUUGGCAAUAGUUCUCAAAUUUGUAGACUGUGCUUACUAUCAGUUUUAUAUAAAUCCUGGCAACACCACGUCUUGAUGGCUUGAAUCUGUUUGUGCGUGAUCCUACCGCCCUUGAGCAUUUUCCUGUUUAUUAAAUCACAUCAUGCUUUUGUUGGAGUUGGAGUGGCAAACUCUGGGACUUAAUUAGAUUUUUAUUAGGCAUGGAAAAAAAAAAAAGCACAUCACGUUUCCAGUGUUUUCACCUGAACUUGAAGGCAUUUCUCUUCCUAGUCUAGAAUCCGAGUGUGCCUUCAACCUGCUUAUUUCAUUCUGACUUUCCUUGCUCAAGGCACACGUCAAAAUUAGCCUUUCAAUGCUGAUUUAAUCUCUGUCGUAAUUACAUGGCUCUUUACACUUGAGACUUAAAUUCUUGAUUUGGGCUAAAAAGCGACGAAGCUGCUGGAAAUAAAAAUAAAUCUAUUUAAUACUUUCGAAAGAAUCCCAUGAUAGUAGGAGGCAUUAUGCACGGAUUCAGUUAGCUAGAGGUGGUUGCUCAUUUGGGCGGGCGGCUGACGCAGGCACUGACAUGCUCCAGCUGGCGAAUCUAGUCUGGAGCAGAUGGGCCAGGCCCUUAAGGGAGAACAGGAAGAAUCCUACAAACCGAGGUUUAAGCCUCUGCUCCUCUAGGAUUCAGGUUCCCGUCUGUAAAAUGGGGAUCAUCACAGCUACGGUUCACUGAACACUAACUCUGUGCCAGGUGCCAGUCAUUUGAUCUUAUGAGAUAGGGACACAAGUUACUGUGUCCAUUCUAGAGAUAGGAAAACUGAGCCCACUUAGAGUUUAAGUAAUGGCCCACAGCCAUAUACCUAAUGUGUGGUGGAGUCUGGAGAUGAACCCAACAAUCUGGCUCAUAAUCCCCACUCUUAACCCCAAGCUGUGGAGCGUGAGAAUGGUUGCCCUCUCUAUUUUAUGAAGGAAUUAAAUGAGUGACUCUGUGUGUGCUGCAUGAACUGCUUUGCAAGGUCAGAAGCUCCUUGGUGAUCUUAGCAGCACCCAUCGCUCUGAUGUUCUGCCCUCACAUGGAGCGGUGGGGUGAGGAGGCUGAUGGACCCAGGGUCCAGGGUCUUCAGGAAAUCAUUCAAUCUCUCUGAGCCUCAGCUUCCAAGUCUUGGAAAUAAGCACAACAAUCUUACCUACUCCUCAAGCUCCUGUGGGAUAGAAACAAAACAAGGAACGUUGGGAGCCCCGAGAACAGCUGUAAAGGACUGAUAUGACGGCUCACAUUUACUGAGCACGAACCACGUGCAAGGGCCUGCCCGGAGCCCAUUAUGCAGUGUCUCGUCUAGACUCACAGGAGCGCUAGGAGGUCAGGGCUGUACGAAACUGAUUUACAGAAGAGGAAACAGGCUCAGAGGUCGGGUGACUCACCCAGCAUCACAGCCAGCCACAGCCCAUGUCCUCACCACAUGCUCCCACCACAGCCACCCCCCUCACCAGAAAGUGGUUAGGAAAGCUCUCUACUCCUUCCUCUGUGAAGCCUUCCGGAUGACCACCUCUGGGCAUCCACUCACUUACCCCAAUGCCUCCUCCCUCAUGCGUGUGUUCCAACCACAACAAGCUUAUUCCCAAGUGUAAUGCCUGUCUUUAGCCAUCCUUCUCCCCGACCUGCUUGUGUCUCCCAUGAGACUCUUUCAGAGCAGUUGUUUUUUUGGGGGGCGGGGGAUGUGCAGUGAGACUAUUUUCCCAUUUCCCCUGUUCCUGUCUCUGGGUUCUGGCCCAGAACUCUGCCCAGACUUGGAUGUUAGGAGUUUGUAACCUUGAACCACCAAGCUUAGGGAUGGCUGCUCUGGACACCAGACCUCGCUGGAAUAAUGAAGCAGGGCAGGCAAAGGCUAAUGCUGCAGGAGAUAGGAGCUCCACUCUUGGAAUUAAUCCAGAGGAUGUGCUGCGUGAAAGCUGCUCGUCUCAGGACUCCUGGGAUGGCAGGGAGGGGGCUGGGCUGAGGAGGGCGGAGACACCCGUCAGCACAAGUCCUCUUACUGCUCCUCGCGGGGACUGUGCCCCACUCCUCACAUCUUAGAGACACCAAAGCCCACCUGCUCUCUGCUCCAAGUUGAACUCUUCCCCAGUGGUGUCUGCUUCGGCUCCAGGGCCAUUUCAGUGAAAAGGAGGAAGGUGAACGGACAUUGUACACAUCAGUCCUUUCUCUUGUAAAAUCACUGCUUUGCCUUCAAGGAAUGGAAGGAAAAAGGCAAAGGUUGAAUUUACAAAGCAGAUACAAUACUGUCUCCCUCUAUCUCCAGAGAAAGCUUUUUUUUUUUUUUUUUUUUCCCUUGACGCCUCCCAACUGACUGGAACCAACAGUAUGUCUUCUGGUGCCCUCCUGCUCCCCGCGGCUUCAGCUAAAUCUGGAAGUUGUCAAGUCGGCUUCAUCUGGGUUUAAUUUAACCAGAACUUACAGAAUACCGUGGGGAACAGGAGAAGGAUAAAUCACUGUCCCUGGCUGGUCUCACGGGGACCCUCAGCCAAACAAAUAAAACCUCGAGAAGGAGGAAGUCCAGGCAGGAGAGAGCUGAUGUCCGGGACAAGGGUGGGCAGCCGGCGUUGGAGGGGCUGCGAAGGGGACAGAGGUCAGAGUGGACUCAAAAUGGGGAGAAGCAGUCCAGUUUUCUCUUGGUUUUAUCAAAUAAGCAGGAUUUUCCAAGAUAAACAUGACUGAGGAUGUUCUUACCCCCGGGGGUGGGCACAGCCUCACCAAAGGCGUUGAGCCGGGAAGGAACCAAGCUGACCUCUGCAUCCAGCUCUUUUCUCUACUUUUCCUACUGUGGGAGCACAACCAGCCUGGAUUUCUAUUUUGAAUGAAUAGAAGAGACAUGUCCUAAAGAUGGGGGAAACCAGACGGAAGCUGUGACUCUUCCAGGGGGUUGUUGGCAUCAAAAAAAGCACCCUGCACCCCGAGGAGAAAGCACAGGAUGGGACUUCCAGAGACCCAGAGGCGGGACUUUCAGCACUACUGAACAGCUGGGUAACCUUGACCUGCCACUCACCCUGGCCUCAGUCUCCUCACCUGGACAAAAUCCUUUUGCCCUUGAGUUCCGGGCUGCGUGCCUAUCUCCCUGGGCUCCUUUGGGAAGGACCUGGGGCAGUGGCUGAGCACCGUUAGGUGGAGCCAGUGACCCAGCAACAACACAUUCUCAGCAGUUGAGACACCCUCUUCCCCAAACCAGAAGGAUCGAGGCUGGUUCUGACAUGUGGAAUUUCAGCCUGAAACGACCGGGACCCCACGGACAGCUGCUCCUUUCACCUCGUGCCCAGCUGCGUGCCAGACUCAGCACUUUCUGGAUCCAGUCCUUACUUCCUCCUCUAUCAAAUGCCAAAUUCCCCGGUGAAAGGUUUAGGGUUUCCUGAGGGUUUGUGAGACGUUACUUCUUACAACAAUAAAGCUGUGUCCAACUUCCCUCAAGAUAUUUGUGGGGUUUUUUCCCCCCAGUGACUACAUUGUCCAUCUCCCGUACCUCCAUCCUAUUCCCUAGGCUGGGCAAUCUCAAUCUCUCUCCCCCUUCCCUCCCCACUUAGCAAACAGAGGAUUCUUUGUGGGAGCCCCUCUUCUUAGAAUGCAGAUGGAUUAUAAAUAACAAAUCGUUUCCCAUCACGCAGAAAUUAGGGAAGUGAGGAAAUCAGAUGGAAAGUAGAGCCAGGCUAGAGAAACAACAAAGACAAGAGUGUCUCUUGCACGCAAAUACGGACCUGGCAGCCCUGUGCAUUCCCAUGAGACAGCCCCAGAGGGGGGACCCUGGGCGGCUCAGAGCAGAAAGCACGAUCUGGGCCACGAAGCACAGCCUGCCCACCAGCUUCGGAGCAGUGCCGCGUGACAGACGGUUAGCCGUCACAGGAGCCGCUCCUUUGACAAGGAACGGAACGUUAGCUGGGUAUCUGUGACAUCCCCAGCCUCCCUUGCAGCAAGCGAUGGCCGUGUGGGCUGUGAGCACAAGAGGUAUCUUACUUCUGGGUCUUGCCAGGGAAAGGGCUGGGCGUGUGUUUCCUGGGACUUCUGACGCUUUCCUUCUGGCCGAGGAGCCAGGAGAACUGUGCCCAGAGAUGGGAACCCCGUGUUGGGUGGCAGAGCCCCUGGAAGGAAAAGAAGCUUCUUCGUUGAAGUCGCUAUAUGUCCGAGGCCUCUUAGAAAACCAGCGCAGCCUGCAUUCCGACGCAGCAGCUUCUUCUGUACUGAGGCAGAGAGAGGCUGUCCACACAGUUCACCUCUUCCACGCCGAUUUGAAGUGUCCCCCUUAUUGCAGGCUAUGCCAUCUCCCCGGGCAGCCAAGGUGGCAGGUACAAGUGGUGAAGUAGAAGACACAUGGCGAAAGGGAUAGACCUUAAAAGCUAGUAUUGAAGGAACAAAAUGAGUCCCCAGAACAAGAUUUAUGGCACAAUAACAUUUAUGUAAAUUAAGCCUCCCAUCAAGCCCACAGCACUUAUUUCAAGGAUUUACGUGUAUAUUCAAGGAUAUAUAUAUGAAAUCAUAAAGGGAGGCAAGGGGAAAAAAUAAAACAUUUACAGGCAAGGGGCCUUACUCAGACAGAUGAUGGUAAUUGCUGGGAUCUGACGUUCACACACACACACGUGCACGCACGCACGCACCUGUGACAAGGGGAGCAGGAACAUGGCGGGGGGGGCGGUUGGGGUGAACGAAAUGGGGCCUGGGAUCUGCACGUGCGGUAAGAUAUUUCCACUGGAAAGAACAGGACCGGGUCUGGGUAAGCUACAGAAUUUCAGGAUUUUUCAGAACGUGAUUUUUGGCCUGAGUGUGUCUGCGUGUGAAAUGAAAACAUGAAGGUCUUAAGUCUUAUCGAAUAGUUUCCCAGGAUUGUCAGUUGCUUAAACAUUCAAUUUAUGACAGGACAAGUCCUAAAAACAAGCAAAACAAAAAAUCCCUCAAGACCCCCACCUUAUUGCCUUAUGUCCUGUGUGUUUUCUUUUUUUGUUAAUGAAGAUACUUGCAUAUGAAAUAUCUCAGGUUGCUCUCUAGCUAUGUUUAAUUUUGCGGGUUUAACGUAAGGGGAAAAACCCCUCUGCCUCCUUUAAUUACAUUUUUGAACUUUGUGAUACAAAAGGAAAGUAGCUGGGGAACAGUAGACAGACUAUUGCAACUUUUUAAAUCUUGCACGCACACGCAUCAUUGGUAACCAGCGGAGCCUUCACCUGUCCUGAAAAUGCUUGCAGAGGGAGGGUGAGGAACUGAAUUGGUUGCAUCUGGUGAAUCAUAGGAAACAAACAAAACACAACUUACUAAACUCUGAAGUCUGCCAACAAUAACACAGGCUGAUUUUCCUCACAAUGCUUGGGGCUCGAGAGCUGAAAUGUGGCGAGGUGUACGCAGGGACCAAACUAUUUCCCGCAGGGAUUCUUCCUCAGUGAAGUGCGAAUCCGAGGGCCCAAGGUGAUUUCCUAGAUAUGUAGGAAGGCCAGACCUGCAGUGAGCAAAGCCACAGUGAGGCUGCCAAGGAUGUCCAAAUACAUAGGACAGAAGGGGGACCACCUUUUAUUAAGGUGGAACUGGAGACAAAUGCCAUGCAGGUGUAUGGACAGCUGAUGUCAUCCAGGUGUGUAGAUAGUUGACUAUCUCAGGGCCACAAUCUUGGACUCCUGAACUAUGAGAAUUUAUGGAGACCUUCAGGAUUGUCUAGGUCUCCUCCCCAACCUGCUUUACAGAUGAGGACAUGGAGAUCCUGAGUUGGAUAGGGCUUGCCCUGGGUGACUGAGAAAGUUAUUAUAAGUGUGGGAGUUUGCACCCAGGUGUCCUGGUUCAUAGGCUGGAAACAUUCAUUUCCCCCAUAUACACCUUUUCAAGCAGUUUGCUCCUGUCCAGCUCACUCCUACAAGAGCCUGGAUGGUGAUUCAGGUCCCAGCCUAUCUUAUGGACUCCACCUGAUCCAGGGGUUCAGUAGCUUAGAUUUUGCCUUAGACAUUUUAUUAGCUAUUAAUUGGGAGGAUGUGGUGGUUGUUCCCAACAUCCCAUGAAGAAUGAUGCCUUUCUUUUCCAUACUCAUCUGACCAUGAUGAGAAUUCAUGUCAUAUAUAACGAGCUCUUAAAAUUCAUUAAGCAAAAGAGAGUUCCCUGCAGCGCUGGUGGUCAAUGUGAAUUGGGCCGUAUCUUGUGACUUAGAAAUUUCCUUUUGCUGAAUGGCCCCAGGAGAAUUCUCCCCAAGGAGAAAUAUGGGAACAUGUUGAUUUGAUUUGAUUUUGAUUUCUCUGAAUUCAAAUCCUGAGUUUUUGCAAAAUAAAUAACGAAUACAGAUCUGUAUUAAGAAUAUUUUGGGCAGCUAGAAAACAUCAUCACUGAUCAUAUGCUUUACUUUCAAUCCAAAUAUUAAUAUAUGGAAUAUUCUUUUCCAGCUUUAUGGAGCUAUCACUGACAUAGAACAUUGUGUAAAUUUAAGGUGUACAAAUGAGUUGAUUUGAUACCCUUACAUAUUGCAAAAUGAUUACCACUGUAGCAUUAGCUUACCCCUUCAUCAUGUCACAUAAUUACAAUUCCUUUUUUGGGGAUGAACAUUUUAGAUCUACCCUCUUGCCAACUUUAAAAUAUAUUGUACUUUAAUAUUAUAUACUAUUACUUUAGUCUUAUUAAUAGUCCCCAUACUGUACAUUAGCUCUCUUAUAACUGGAAGUUUGUAUCCUUUGACCAACAUCUGGAACAUCUUUAUCAUAGUAAGUUUUGUAAAAAACAAAAAGUUGCAAACAACCUAAAUGUCCAUCAGUACUUUUUUUCUAUGGGUUUAGACAUAUGUAGGUAAAUGCGCAGGGGAGGCGCCUGUGUAACCUCUGAGGGAGGGACUGGGAUUAAGGUCAAGGGGACUUUAGGCUUAUCCGUUUCAUUUUUAUUAAACAGGGGAAUGUGUUCAUGUGCGCCUUAUGUUAUUAAAAAUAACUUGAAAAAGAUAAACUGUAGAGAAAGCACCCAACUGGUAUAAUAGACUUGUCUUCCAAUACCUAUCAUGUAAGAAGAGAGGGAGGGCUGGAAUCCACUGCUGGCUCCCCUGGCAGCUGCCUUGUGCCCCCUUGGCUGGCAUCCCAGCCACGCUGGGGAAGUAGGGAGCCAGGAUUAUAUAGAUUCACCACUUGAUGGCAGACUGUAGGACACGCACACUUGAGCGUACAUCAGAAUAAUCUGCAGUGCUUGUGAAAAAUUCAUUUUCCCAGGUGUCACCAUCUGUAAUUCUGACUUAAUGGGUCUGUCUUGUGAUCUAGCAAUCUGCAUUUUAAAUAAGCACCAGAGUUGAUUCUGAUGAAGGUGGUCUUUGGGCCACACCGGGAGAAGAAUAAUGCCUUCCUGCUAUUCACCUUUUGCAGGGACACUGCUCAUGAUCUCCUCGUAUGAAAGCCAGGGCUGUCUCCCUGGUGACAAAGAUAAGACACAGGGAAGACGCACCAUCCCAGACAUUCCAGCUGCCAAACUAUCAACUCUGAAUGUCAUGCGCGUGUGCACACAUGUAUAAUGCACUUGAGAGACACCAUGAGGACCAUUCCAGUUCUGCAUUUUGUCUAAAAAAAUGUUGGAAAGGGCCUCUCACCCUAGAUAGCGACACUAGAAUGAAUUUAGAUGUGUCUACAUAAUAAUUCAGAGAUGGACAUAAUGAGAUAUGGUUUGGGUUCAUCACUGAGUUUUGUCAGGAGACAUAUAUUAAUGGAAACCCAAAUGAGGGGCUUCUGCAAGGUCAAGGUUCCCAUCUAAAUGUGACAACAAAGAGCCCUUCACUGCUAAAUGGCACAAUGCAGAUGCAAGAUGAUUUUUGCCAUCCAUAAAAGCCAUUUCUAGCUGAUAAUGAAGCAGGGCUGGGAUCAAAAUGGGAAAGCAAAUUGCCUUGUCUCUGUCUUUCAAAAAGAAUGUAAUAAAAAUGGCUUUCAAGUGUUUUGUUUUUGUCUCUGUGUUUAUUUAUCUAUUUUUGUAUUUGUAUAUAUUUUCUACUAGUAGAACUGAGAUACAUCAUCCAUGCUGCUAAUGUCUAAAGUAUUGGUGAAAGUCUAAUCAAAAGUGAAAAAAUAAAAUGUGCUGAGAUCUUGAAGAUCUUGACAAGUUGGUCAAACCUUGUGUCUUUUAGAGGUUCUUUGUACAGAGUGUCACCAGAGAAGGUGACCUGGCUGGGUCACGGAUCUUUAGGGAUUCAAUGAGGCCCAGGAUGGUUGUAGUGAGGCCGUCUUUGAUGAGAAAUCUCAGAUAUGCCAUGGGCAAGCAGGGGCUAGAACUGCUCUAGAAUGUUGCCAGGGCCCUAGCAACUGAGCCAAACUGGAUCACCCCAACCCUGCAUAAUCACACCAAAUACAGGCUGCAUUGUCAGCAUCUUUCGUGGACCACUUGGGAUAUUGUUAAAGACUACAUUUUGAAAUGAAACAAUCAGCAAAGAGGAAGAAGGAAGCAAUUUCAUCCAGUUAUUCCACCCCAGGCCCUGACAAGGAAGCCGGGAUUGCUGGCAGUCCUCCUCUGGGAAGAAAUGACGCUAAGCAGUGGCUGGGGAAAGAAGGGGAUGGAUUCCUGACACAAAACUCCAGCCUGCAGAACACUAUGAUGAUUAGAAAGACAUAAUGAGCACUCACUUCUUGUUCAUUUCCUGCCACCUGAGCACUCAUACACAUUCAUGAGGGUCUGAAGUUGUGCACGGUUCACAUAAACACAGGAAGGGGAACAUAUUUAAGUAACAUGGGCAGUGCUGAUAUGGCUGAGUUGAAAAAUGCUAUGAACGCUUUAAAGACUCUUGUGCUUGAAGGGGCACCUGGGUGGCUCAGUCGUUAAGCGUCUGCCUUCGGCUCGGGUCAUGAUCCCAGGGUCCUGGGAUCGAGCCCUGCAUCAGGCUCCUUGCUCGGCAGGAGGCCUGCUUCUCCCUCUCCCACUCCCCCUGCUUGUGAUCCCUCUCUCGCUGUCUCUCUGUCAAAAAAUAAAUAAAAUCGUUAAGAAAAAAAAAAAA